UAUCACAUCAUAUUUCUUGCAUUCUCUAAUUAUACGCUGAUCUCUCUCUCAACUUUGAUUUUCCAACUUAUUAUGUUAACUAUGGUUGAGAUGAAUUUGGAUCCAAGAGAUUGUAUAUCCCACAUUUUAUCGUUCUCGUCUGUUCGCGAUGCGUGUCAAAUUUCGCUUCUCUCCUCAAUCGCCCGCUUCUCUCCUCAAUCGCCAGGGUUGCAGCUGAAUAUGACGUUGUUUGGGAGAAUUUCCUACCAUUUGAUUAUCAUAACAUUCAAUCGAGAUUAACAUCUCCACUCUUGUUCAAAUCCAAAAAAGAGUUGUUUCUUAGGCUUCACAAUCCAAUUUUGGCCAAUAAGGGUAAAAAGGUAAAUUUAUCAGAGUUUCAUAUAUUUUUUUUGUUUUCUUUCGAUAUUUUUCAAAAAAAAUUUGAAAACAGUUGAAGACAACACAUAUAUAAAAGAGAACAUUUUUGUUCAUGCACAUUUUUUAUUGUAAACAAAAGCUAUUUUCGGUCUAUAUAACACUGAAAAAGAGAAAAUUGAAGAAAAACUUCACAUUUAGCAUUAUUCGAAAAUGGCUAAAUAAUUUUCAUUCAAUUUUUUAUAUUUUAUAUUUUUUCUUUUCUAUAUUACCUAGGAGUGAACAGAAAGAGGAAUGAAAAUAGUUAUAUUUUAUUCCUUUUGUUUUCUCUUUCUUUCCUCAAAUUCCAAACAAAACCUAAAUAUCUUUCUUUAGCAAGUUUGACGAAGUUGUUGAACUCGCAACCACAUGGUGGCUAGAAAUCAAUGGUAAAAUCCACACUCGGAUGCUAUCACUAAACACGACUUAGAAAGCCUGUCUCAUCGUAAAAUUUGCUGAUCGAACUUACGAGUUUGACUUCCCCCUUUUGGAUUUGUCAGUCGAAAUAAUCAAAUUAAUGCAAUUAUUCAUGAUACCAUGUUCGGGCUCACGUUCUAGCAAGAUAGUACGAGAUUUUUUAUCAAAUAUAUUAUUUUUUUGUAACUUUGUUCUAAUACAUUUCUAGAUUUCUAGUCGCUUGGUCUUUCCUCCAAAUUCAUGUAUGUCGAAAUUAUAUGUCGCAUGGUCUUCCCUUAGAAUUCCUGCAUUUCAAAAUUAUCUAUCAUCAUAUCCGACUGAGCAGUUUGAAAUAAUAGAGAUGAUUUUGAAAAAAGACGCUUUCAAAACUAAUAAUCAAUUCAAUCUCAUUGCACAUGUCCUCAUGUGUAAUAUCAUGUCCUACAGCCUACUAUGUACUCUAACUAUCAGAAACUCAUAUUCUUGCAUUCCUAAUUAAUUUAUGAAUAAUAAUGAAAUACACAUUUAAAAGUGGGUUGUGUAUAAAUUACACACAUUUGCCCUCUACAAAUAAGUAUACUUCGCCUAAUAACUUUUUUAGAAAAGCGUAAAAACCCUAAUUAGGGCAGGUCUCACUUGUUUUGUGAGGGGAUAAAAAUAGGUGUGUCUUAUAUACACCAAAAAAUGGGUGUGUACCUAUCACUAUUGAUUAAUUAUACGCUGAUCUCUCUCUCUCAACUUUGAUUUUCCAACUUAUUAUGUUUACUAUGGUUGACAUGAAUUUGGAUCCAAGAGAUUAUAUAUCCCACAUUUUAUUGUUCUCGUCUCUUCAGAUACGUGUCAAAUGUCGCUUCUCUCCUCAGUCGUCAGGGUUGCAGCUAAAUAUGACAUUGUUUGGGAGAAUUUCCUACCAUCCGAUUAUCAUAACAUUCAAUUGAGAUUAACAUAUCAACUCUUGUUCAAAUC
RNAcentral lists this long non-coding RNA (1755 nucleotides) under Actinidia chinensis (golden kiwifruit). RNAcentral describes it as "long non-coding RNA (ACHI_LNC009095)". Lineage: Eukaryota; Viridiplantae; Streptophyta; Magnoliopsida; Ericales; Actinidiaceae. The record is from RNAcentral.